UAGGGAAUAUUGGUCAAUGGGCGCAAGCCUGAACCAGCCAUGCCGCGUGCAGGAAGACGGUCCUAUGGAUUGUAAACUGCUUUUAUUGGGGAAUAAACCUUUCUACGUGUAGGAAGCUGAAGGUACCCAAUGAAUAAGCACCGGCUAACUCCGUGCCAGCAGCCGCGGUAAUACGGAGGAUCCGAGCGUUAUCCGGAUUUAUUGGGUUUAAAGGGUGCGUAGGCGGCCUGUUAAGUCAGGGGUGAAAUACGGUGGCUCAACAUCGCAGUGCCUUUGAUACUGAUGGGCUUGAAUACACUUGAGGUAGGCGGAAUGUGACAAGUAGCGGUGAAAUGCAUAGAUAUGUCACAGAACACCGAUUGCGAAGGCAGCUUACUAUGGUCUUAUUGACGCUGAGGCACGAAAGCGUGGGGAUCAAACAGGAUUAGAUACCCUGGUAGUCCACGCCCUAAACGAUGAACACUCGCUGUUGGCGAUACACAGUCAGCGGCUAAGCGAAAGCGUUAAGUGUUCCACCUGGGGAGUACGGUCGCAAGAUUG
RNAcentral lists this ribosomal RNA (540 nucleotides) under uncultured bacterium. Its description in RNAcentral is "bacterial SSU rRNA". It matches the Rfam family "Bacterial small subunit ribosomal RNA", at positions 355 to 896 of the family's 1533-position model. The record is from RNAcentral.